GGCAUGAGCCCUCCCGCCUGCCCCAUGGUAGAGAUUGCUUUCUGAGGUCUUCAGACGAUAAAGUGAAGGAGCAGACAGCAGCCCUGGGCCAAACCUUCAGAUGUCCCCUGGGUGCUGUGUCGGCUACAUCUCCUGAGCAGGGACAGGGACAGCAGAGCCCAUGCCUCACCAUGUGGCCAGGUCGCUGUGGGGUAGGUAAAGUGAUGACCCACCUACUGGAGUCAGAGGACAGGGAGCAGUGGAAGAUGGUGCCAGUACUUUAUGGAGAGCCACAUGCUCUGAGAUGCUUCUUCUAGUGGGAAGGAUUUGCAUCGUUUACAUUUGGAGGUUGCAAUUCUUUCCCAUGUAAGAUGAGGACAAUAAGCCCAAAGAGGAAUGUGAUGUGCCCAAGAUCCUAUUGCUACUAGUAGAUAUCGAUCCUGACUGCACACUGAAAUAACUGAGGUUUUUUUUGUUGUUUUAUUUUUUAUUUUUUAAAUUUUAUUGUUGGGGCGCCUGGGUGGCUCAGUUGGUUAAGCGACUGCCUUCGGCUCAGGUCAUGAUCCUGGAGUCCUGGGAUCGAGUCCCGCAUCGGGCUCCCUGCUCCGCGGGAAGCCUGCUUCUCCCUCUGCUCCUCUCUCUCUCCCUCUCUGUCUCUCAUGAAUAAAUAAAUAAAAUCUUUAAAAAAAAAAAAAAUUUUUAUUGUUGUUAGUCACCAUACAAUACAUCAUUAGUUUUUGAUGUAGUGUUCC
Molecule: long non-coding RNA, 731 nt
Organism: Mirounga angustirostris (Northern elephant seal)
Lineage: Eukaryota; Metazoa; Chordata; Mammalia; Carnivora; Phocidae
Exons: 3
Source: RefSeq, a predicted model, not a curated record